This 171-nucleotide non-coding RNA is filed under the name Geosporobacter subterraneus DSM 17957. Lineage: Bacteria; Bacillati; Bacillota; Clostridia; Peptostreptococcales; Thermotaleaceae. The record is from RNAcentral.
UCCUUGGCGACAAGGAAUCUGAAGGAAGCCAGCGGCAAACUUCCGGUCUGAGGAACACGAAUCACAUAUGAGGCUGAUAUAGUUGGAUGAGUUUGCGUAGCAAAACAAAAUCCUUACCACCCAAGGCUAUACCAGUAUAUGUGGCAGAUAGAUGGAAGGAAAGACUGCGUU